This 253-nucleotide ribosomal RNA is filed under the name uncultured bacterium. RNAcentral's name for it is "partial 16S ribosomal RNA". It matches the Rfam family "Bacterial small subunit ribosomal RNA", at positions 524 to 776 of the family's 1533-position model. The record is from RNAcentral.
UACGUAGGGUGCGAGCGUUAAUCGGAAUUACUGGGCGUAAAGCGCGCGUAGGCGGCUUUGCAAGUCGGGUGUGAAAUCCCCAGGCUUAACCUGGGAACUGCAUUCGAGACUGCAUUGCUAGAGUAUGGGAGAGGGAAGUGGAAUUUCCGGUGUAGCGGUGAAAUGCGCAGAUAUCAGGAAGAACACCCGUGGCGAAGGCGGCUCUCUGGGACGGUACUGACGCUGAGACGCGAAAGCGUGGGGAGCGAACAGG